This is a long non-coding RNA of Varroa destructor (honeybee mite), 436 nucleotides long. RefSeq lists it as uncharacterized. The record is from RefSeq and is a predicted model, not a curated record. NCBI's taxonomy places the organism in Eukaryota, Metazoa, Arthropoda, Arachnida, Mesostigmata, Varroidae.
CCAGCUUCGAGCUGUUUGCGUUUGUGUUCAACGCGGCAAUGUUUAGGUUGAUAUAUCGCUGCUAUUCGACUAUCCCCGGGACAGAAGCGUCAGCGGCGUACUUCGACAUUGAACGCGACGCGGUAGUCUUGCCGACGACGUCCCUGUACAUCAAGCGGCUCGGAAAGAACAAAACCGCUUCAAUGUCGACGAUUGAUACCACUCAACGAGCCCAACGAAACAAAUAGACCGGAAGGCAUUAUUGAGCGCAUGACGAAGCAGUAACGUAAAACCGAACUUGCGUAUACCAGCUAGCUUCGCAAUCUGGCGUACCGGUGUAAGGAGGGAUCGUUUGUAGCUGCUUAGCCUAACGGUUUUCCCUUAACUGAUUUGUCACCACCCGAUCCUCCUAUGAUUAACCAAGUGAGGCAAGGACUUAAGUGACUGUUGCCGUCGG